GACGAACGCUGGCGGCGUGCUUAACACAUGCAAGUCGAACGGAAAGGCCUGCUUUCCCUUGUGGAUUGCGGGUACUCGAGUGGCGAACGGGUGAGUAACACGUGAGUGAUCUGCCCCCAACUUGGGUAUAAGCCUGGGAAACUGGGUCUAAUUCCCGAUAGGACUGCAGUGUGGUGCCUGUGGUGGAAAACGAUUUUCUAGUGGUUGGGGAUGAGCUCGCGGCCUAUCAGCUUGUUGGUGGGGUAAUGGCCUACCAAGGCGGCGACGGGUAGCCGGCCUGGGAGGGUGGACGGGCACAUUGGGACUGAGAUACGGCCCAGACGCCUGCGGGAGGCAGCAGUGGGGAAUAUUGCACAAUGGGCGGAAGCCUGAUGCAGCGACGCCGCGUGGGGGAUGACGGGCUUCGGGUUGUAAACUCCUUUCGACCGCGAGGAAGCCACCUGGUUGGAAGGGUGGUGACGGUAGUGGUAGAAGAAGCACCGGCUAACUACGUG
Molecule: ribosomal RNA, 494 nt
Filed under: uncultured bacterium
Lineage: Bacteria
Description: partial 16S ribosomal RNA
Rfam family: Bacterial small subunit ribosomal RNA
Source: RNAcentral